GCUUUGAAUGUCAUAGCAUGUGAGGGCUCAGAAAGAGUCGAGAGACCAGAGACAUACAAGCAAUGGCAUGUUCGAAAUAUGAGAGCUGGGUUGAAACAACUUCCCUUGAAUCCUCAAGUACUGAACAAAUUGAAGUGUAAGGUGAAGACAGGAUACCAUGAAGAUUUUGUUGUAGAUCAAGAUGGGCAAUGGCUGCUGCAGGGAUGGAAGGGACGGAUUCUUUAUGCAUCAUCUGCAUGGAUUCCUGCAUAGGAACAUCAUAGUUUGUUUCUUAGGGCACACUCCCAGCACUAGGCAGGCGGCAGUAUUUUCGUAGUUUAAGCUGCCUAAGAUGAAGGAGAGAGCCAGAGGUGGACCUGGUAUCUCUAUUUGAUUGUAC
RNAcentral lists this unclassified non-coding RNA (379 nucleotides) under Hevea brasiliensis (rubber tree). The record is from RNAcentral. Lineage: Eukaryota; Viridiplantae; Streptophyta; Magnoliopsida; Malpighiales; Euphorbiaceae.